RNAcentral lists this ribosomal RNA (440 nucleotides) under uncultured bacterium. RNAcentral's name for it is "partial 16S ribosomal RNA". It matches the Rfam family "Bacterial small subunit ribosomal RNA", at positions 338 to 795 of the family's 1533-position model. The record is from RNAcentral.
CCUACGGGAGGCAGCAGUGGGGAAUAUUGCACAAUGGGGGCAAGCCUGAUCCAGCGACGCCGCGUGAGUGAAGAAGUCUUUCGGUAUGUAAAGCUCUUUCAGCAGGGAAGAAAAGGACGGUACAUGAUUAAGAAGCCCCGGCGAACUACGUGCCAGCAGCCGCGGGAAUCCGGAGGGGGCAAGCGUUAUUCGGAAUUACUGGGUGUAAAGGGGGCGUUGACGGGAGCACAAGUCUGGGGUGAAAUGCCGGGGCUAAACCCCGGAACUGCUGUGGAAACUGGGGAUCUAGAGUGCAGGAGAGGUAAGUGGAAUGCCUGGUGUAGCGGGGAAAUGCGUAGAUAUUAGGCAGAACACCAGUGGCGAAGGCGGCUUACUGGACUGCAACUGACGCUGAGGCUCGAAAGCGUGGGGAGCAAACAGGAUUAGAUACCCCGGUAGUC